This 408-nucleotide ribosomal RNA is filed under the name uncultured bacterium. RNAcentral's name for it is "bacterial SSU rRNA". It matches the Rfam family "Bacterial small subunit ribosomal RNA", at positions 358 to 782 of the family's 1533-position model. The record is from RNAcentral.
GGAAUAUUGCACAAUGGGCGAAAGCCUGAUGCAGCAACGCCGCGUGGGUGAUGAAGGCCUUCGGGUCGUAAAACCCUUUUCUGGGGGAAGAGCAAGGACGGUACCCCAGGAAUAAGCACCGGCUAACUACGUGCCAGCAGCCGCGGUAACACGUAGGGUGCAAGCGUUAUCCGGAUUUACUGGGCGUAAAGCGCGCGCAGGCGGCAUCGUAAGUUGGACGUGAAAUCUUUCGGCUUAACCGGGAGGCGCCGUUCAAGACUACGAUGCUCGAGGGCAGAAGAGGGGAGUGGAAUUCCCGGUGUAGUGGUAAAAUGCGUAGAUAUCGGGAGGAACACCAGUGGCGAAGGCGACUCCCUGGUCUGCACCUGACGCUGAGGCGCGAAAGCGUGGGGAGCGAACGGGAUUAGA